RNAcentral lists this small nuclear RNA (233 nucleotides) under Fukomys damarensis (Damara mole-rat). Its description in RNAcentral is "7SK RNA". It matches the Rfam family "7SK RNA", at positions 1 to 288 of the family's 331-position model. Rfam says of the family: 7SK was discovered as an abundant small nuclear RNA in the mid-70s but a possible function has only recently been suggested. Lineage: Eukaryota; Metazoa; Chordata; Mammalia; Rodentia; Bathyergidae. The record is from Rfam by way of RNAcentral.
GGAUGCGAGGGCGAUCUGGCUGCAACAUCUGUUACCCAAUUGAUUGCCAGGGUUGAUGGGCUGAUCUGGCUGGUUAGGCAGGUGUCCCCCUUCCUCUCUCUCCGCUCCAUGUGCGUCCCUCCACAAGCUGAGUGUUCAGUCGAAGAGGAUGACCACCCCUAUAGAGGAGGGCCAUUUCCUCAGUCAAGGGUAUACAAGUAGCUCUCAAGUUAACAAGCUCGCAAGACAACCCU